UACGUAGGGUGCAAGCGUUAAUCGGAAUUACUGGGCGUAAAGCGUGCGCAGGCGGCUUUGCAAGACAGAUGUGAAAUCCCCGGGCUUAACCUGGGAACUGCAUUUGUGACUGCAUGGCUGGAGUGCGGCAGAGGGGGACGGAAUUCCGCGUGUAGCAGUGAAAUGCGUAGAUAUGCGGAGGAACACCGAUGGCGAAGGCAAUCCCCUGGGCCUGCACUGACGCUCAUGCACGAAAGCGUGGGGAGCAAACAGG
Molecule: ribosomal RNA, 253 nt
Filed under: uncultured bacterium
Lineage: Bacteria
Description: partial 16S ribosomal RNA
Rfam family: Bacterial small subunit ribosomal RNA
Source: RNAcentral